AAGUCUAUACUUUCAGGGAUCAUUUCUAUAGUUUGUUACUAGAGAUGAGGAUACAGAGGCACAGAGAGAUAAGGAGCUUGCCUGA
This 85-nucleotide small nucleolar RNA is filed under the name Cervus elaphus hippelaphus. RNAcentral describes it as "Small nucleolar RNA U3". The stretch from base 1 to 41 matches the Rfam family "Small nucleolar RNA U3", at positions 1 to 41 of the family's 219-position model. Lineage: Eukaryota; Metazoa; Chordata; Mammalia; Artiodactyla; Cervidae. RNAcentral also lists the same sequence under 1 other name. The record is from Rfam by way of RNAcentral.